ACAGUUCAGACGGGAGCUUUGCAAGAUGGAUUCGCCAGUGAAAAAUAAGGAAACGGGCGUAUCCAUCAGCUUUGCAAGGUUAAUGUGACAAUUUAGCACAAUUUCUGUUAUUUUGAGUGGCGGGAAGGAGGUUCCCACCUAAAAGACAAAGAAGACAAAGGAGACUGAGAAGGAGGCUGUUUACCUUGGUCUGUUACCCAACACCUCAGUAAGUAUUCAGUUCUACUUUAUUUAAAUAUAUAUCAUCAAAAUUUAAGGUGUUAGGGUAAAUUUAGCAUGUAUAUAAUCCACCAACUAAAUCUUUUUUUUUUUAGAGGAAAUUCAUGAUGAAGGUUAGGUUGUGUUCAACAGGGCUGCCUAGAAGUAAGCUAACGUUACAUUGCCAAACUUCAUUUGUUAAUUUUUAAUUUUGUUUCUACCUUAAUGCCAAAAAUACGCAAUGUGAAGUUCAAUUUGGGACUUUUUAGUCGGCUUAACAAUCGCUCCUUUUGGUGAAGUUGGCAUGAAACCAGGUCACGGUUGACAAAUUAGCUAGCUAAGUUUAAGUCAAUACCACAGUCUGUUAACUCCGCCAUUUUACUGUAGCUGCACUGCAGGGUUUGGUUUGGGAAAGGAGAGACAGAUUUAAGUUGCUUAUUGGAAAGCUGAACUUGUAAUGUAAACUGCUUUACGCAGCGUGGCUGUGGUUGUAUGUGUGAAACAAAUCCAUCUGGUGUGACAGGUUACUCUCAGAAAGGAUGUGUUAAAAAAUGACAAAAGGUGUGUUGUUAAAUGGACAUUAAACAGAGAUGAAUAAACAGUGUUGAUCUUUCUAGAAUAUGAAAUUGAGCAAGAAAUUAACUUUAUUUAUUAUUUAAAUAGAUAAUUUGACACAUUAUUCUUUGUACUUAAGCUGACAAAUAUUUAGAAAGUGUGAUUCCAGCAUAAUCAUCUAAACAACACAGGAAAUAAAGGGUCUGGCACACAAUUUUUAGUGUAGAUUAGUUGGAGUUAAAGUUAGAGAUAGUUAUGUGACCUGUUGCAAGUUUGACUUUUUUUGCUGUGAAAUUGAACAAUAUUGAUGCCUUUAACUUUAAAUUGCACACAUUUUCCUCCUGGGGGAGCACACCCUGAUACCACCUAGACAGUUCAGAGUCCCCCACCAUAGCCUGCUAAAAAAAAUCCUUAUUUUCUUUUAAAUACUCAAAUGAGCUCUCCUUGUUUAAGCACAGUAGUUUUUGAUUCAGGGUUGGGUUUUUUAGAUUUUCACUAAUAUUUUUGGACUGUCUUAGACCACAGGGGUAGAAUGGGAGUAGUUGCCUUUCUAAUAUUGUUGUGUGUUGUGUGCUGCUUUCAGUGUGAUGCAGAGUUCGGAAAAAUGUCUACGGGGGAGGAGGACCUUCGAAUAUGGGAAGCACGCAUCAUUUCAAAAGUCCCAAAAAUGGCAACACUUGAAAAUGACCCCAAGGAGAGAGAAUGAGUCACUUUGCUUUGAAACUCUUCAGCUCCUGGCACACUAUCCUCCUACUGCAUCAGGAAGGGCCAAAGGAUGGACCAGAUACAGUGUAAAAUUAGCCCUACAUUACAUCUUGGACCUUAGACUGACUGGAACUAGCAUCCCUAGCUUGAGUGAUCUACUGAGGCAGCAGUCUAUCAGCCCAAUCUUUUGCGUAUAGGACACCCCAGCACAACAACUCAGUAUGCAAUUGCGGUAAAGAAUGACAAAAUCACCAUUCCACUACAAGAUGACAGUUUGAGAUGCACCAUAGACACACAGUUUUACGCUGCUUUGGAGCAAGUCAACUUCAGUAAUGUCUCAGAGGAUGCAGCAAGUGAAUGGUGCCCCCUGUCUUGUGGUUGUGCAGUUUAAUGACAGCAUGACCUGAUCUUACAUGCAUCAGUUAUUUGCAGGCUAGUGCACUGUUGUUGAAUUAUUGUAAUUAAACUUCUGUAAAUGUUCACACUGAAUAGUUUUUUCAGUGUGAUUUUUAAUUAGUGUUUCAGAUGUCAGUAUACAACUGGAGAAUGAUUUUACUUUUCUAAUGCAUUUAUUUUGUGUCUGGUAAAGUUUGUACAGUCACCAUUUUUGUUAGACAGACCUAUACUCCUGUUAACAAUGCAAUAUUAUGGUCUAAAAAGCUUAUUUUUCAUCCAUACAUUAGACUCACCAAGAAUGUAUGUGGUUAUACAUCAUAUAUAUUGUUUGAAAAUAAAUAGAAAUAAAUCAGACCUGAAUUUUAUGCAGUUAUUUUGUGGUUUAUUUAUUUGAGUUUUAGCAUUCAGGCAAAAAAAAAAAGCAUUUUAGGAUAAUUUAGAAAAAAAAACAUUAACACAGAUCUGUGUUAUUUUUAACACAUCUGUGUGUUGAGUUAUUUAACACACAAUAUGUGUUUAAUGUGCACACACACCAAAUGUUUUGAAAGUAACACAAAAUGGGUUGUCCUUAACUAGACACGCCAGUAUGUUGAAAAUCAACACGUGUUAUUUUUAACACAUUUGUUUUGGGAGUAAAGGCGACCUUCUGGACCAAAUGCUGGAAGCUAAUAAAAUGGGAAUCUUGGAUGAUGUGGUGGAGGUGUGUGAUUCCAUGUUUCUUUCAGGUGGGGAAGUUUAAUGUUUUUUUUUUUUUUAAUUGAUGGUUGGGUCUGGGUUAUUCCAAAUUGGGAAGUUUGUGGAUGGUGCAACUGUAGAAGUUGUGAUUCUUUUUAUGUAUCAUGUUUGUUCAUGUUGUAAUGGAUCACAAAAGUAGUAAUUGAAGUGGAGUUGUCAUAGAAUCUUUUUUCUGUGCUGCCUGUGGAUCUCCUGGUCGGCAGCUGCUCAUCUUGGAUCUCUUUCCUAAAAAAGCAGGAAGGCCGACUUACGCCUCCUGAGGCUCACUGCUUCUCUUGUAGUUUCGCUGACUGCACUGUCGUUGCAGUCACCCAGGAGGCUCUCUUGUUCGCUGGUCCUUCCUGUCUGUAAGCAGCAUCGCAGAUAUAAUGCCCGUGCUCUGCUCCUGAGCCCAGAUGGCUUACCAUGCUCACUAGAGAGUAACUAGCGAUUGACUCUUGGUUGACGCGUGGGUUUGGGCUCACAAGCAGAUUCUGCGAUAUUACAACAGAGCGUUCUACCUUCUCCAGGCUGUAAGAUUUAGUGAACCUAAAUCUCGGCAGCUGCAGGAUCAGUAUAUUUGGCAGCAUCAAGAAAGACCAUCUCUGGGCUGACUCUUCACCGCCACAUUCACAGUGGAAGUCAAUAGAGGUGUCUUUCAGGCAGGUCGAGAGAAAUAGUUCAUUUGAGGGACCCAGCUUCUUUUCUCAUUUGUCUAGUACUACUUCUCUUGAAAAAGCAAAAGUGAUUAAAAAAAUGCAAUAUUUCUUAUUAGAGUACUCGAUUAAUCGUCAGAAGAAUCAAUAGAGUACUCGACCACAAAAAGAAUCUGUUACUGCAGCCCUAGUUGAGAGACAGCUGCUCACAGAAUAUUCCUGCUACAGGUCCAGGGAGAGAUUAAUGAAGUCCUCCUUCCUCAUGGAUUGGGAUCCACAUCCCUUGCAGUUUCUUGUGCUCUGCGUUUGGAAGACAAUGUUAGCUUCUACAGGGCAUGUAUACUUCAUGCCCAUACUCAUUGCCUCUGCCUGAAGGUCCAAUGAUGGCGACCUCAUCCAUUCCAGCACACAGCUGAGGAACUCAUUAACAUCUUUUUGAGCAUCAUCCUCAAAUUCUGGGUUCUACUCAGCCACCAGUGACUUGAACGGAGCCAGAAUACAAUACAAUACAAUACAAUAACUUUAUUUAUCCCCGCAGGGAAAUUCAGUUGUCUGGAGUCUCUCUCAU
Cheilinus undulatus (humphead wrasse) is the source of this 3792-nucleotide long non-coding RNA. RefSeq lists it as uncharacterized. The transcript is spliced from 3 exons. The record is from RefSeq and is a predicted model, not a curated record. Lineage: Eukaryota; Metazoa; Chordata; Actinopteri; Labriformes; Labridae.